GCUAUUAGAAAUGCAAUCCAGCCUAGUCCUAGCUACUUGGGAGGCUGAGGCAGGAGGAUCGCUUGAGUCCAGGAGUUCUGGGCUGCAGUGCGCUAUGCCAAUCGGGUGUCCACACUAAGUUUGGCAUCAAUAUGGUGACAUCCCGGGAGCGGGGGACCACCAGGUUGCCUAAGGAGGGGUGAACCGGCCCAGGUCAGAAAUGGAACAGGUCAAAACUCCCGUGCUGAUCAGAAAUGCAAUCCAACUCUCUCCUUGCUAAAUACUUGACAUUUGUGCUACAUUCAGAGAUAUUCAU
RNAcentral lists this signal recognition particle RNA (295 nucleotides) under Castor canadensis (American beaver). RNAcentral's name for it is "Metazoan signal recognition particle RNA (ENSCCNG00000005790.1)". It matches the Rfam family "Metazoan signal recognition particle RNA". Rfam says of the family: The signal recognition particle (SRP) is a universally conserved ribonucleoprotein. It is involved in the co-translational targeting of proteins to membranes. The record is from Rfam by way of RNAcentral. Lineage: Eukaryota; Metazoa; Chordata; Mammalia; Rodentia; Castoridae.